UAUCCCCUCGCUUCCCUCCUGUUUGUUAUGAACAAGGGUCGGCCCAGCGCUUGUUGCCGGGCUUGGAAGCGGAUCUGGCUUUCCCACUGCUUCAGUGGGUUUGCCGAAAAGCAGAGGCUAGAGCGAGGACCUGUCAUGGGCUCAACUGGAUAGGUAGAAGCGGUGCUGCAAAGCGCUGCCAAUACACGAAAGUUGGUGCCUUGGACCUCGCUGGCGGCCAGCAGGAAACGAGCGCGCGUGUUGUUGGCACCUUCGGUGCCAGCGGCCGCCGCCGUCUACC
RNAcentral lists this unclassified non-coding RNA (280 nucleotides) under Bracteacoccus minor. Its description in RNAcentral is "partial internal transcribed spacer 2". Lineage: Eukaryota; Viridiplantae; Chlorophyta; Chlorophyceae; Sphaeropleales; Bracteacoccaceae. The record is from RNAcentral.